RNAcentral lists this ribosomal RNA (1243 nucleotides) under metagenome. RNAcentral describes it as "bacterial LSU rRNA". It matches the Rfam family "Bacterial large subunit ribosomal RNA", at positions 1564 to 2817 of the family's 2925-position model. The record is from RNAcentral.
UGAGUACGAGAUGCUACGGCAUCGAAGCAGUCUAUGUCAUACUUCCAAGAAAAGCUUGCACUGUCAGAAACAGAUAAUGCCUGUACCAUAACCGACACAGGUGGGUAGGUAGAGUAUACUAAGGGGCGCGAGAUAACUCUCUCUAAGGAACUCGGCAAAAUGACUCCGUAACUUCGGGAGAAGGAGUGCCUUAUUUUUAAGGUUGCAAUAACAAGAUCCAAGCAACUGUUUACCAAAAACACAGGUCUCCGCUAAGUCGUAAGACGAUGUAUGGGGGCUGACGCCUGCCCAGUGCCAGAAGGUUAAAGAAGUCGGUUAGCAUUCGCGAAGCUGGUAACUGAAGCCCUGGUGAACGGCGGCCGUAACGAUAACGGUCCUAAGGUAGCGAAAUUCCUUGUCGGGUAAGUUCCGACCCGCACGAAAGGCGUAAUGAUUUGGAUACUGUCUCGGAGAGGGGCUCGGUGAAAUAGACUUGUCUGUGAAGAUGCGGACUACCUGCACCUGGACAGAAAGACCCUAUGAAGCUUUACUGUAACUUGAAAUUGAAAUUGGACUUUAUUUGCGCAGUAUAGGUGGGAGGCGUUGAAAAUAUUCUUGCGGGAAUAUUGGAGCCAUCAGUGAGAUACCACUCUUGUAAUGUUAGAUUUCUAACUUUAUAUCGUUAUCUGGUUAAAGAACGGUUUCAGGCGGGCAGUUUGACUGGGGCGGUCGCCUCCCAAAUGGUAACGGAGGCGCACAAAGGUUUCCUCUGAACGGGUAGAAAUCGUAUCUAGAGUGUAAAGGCAUAAGGAAGCUUGACUGUGAGACCUACAAGUCGAGCAGGGACGAAAGUCGGUCUUAGUGAUCUGACGGUGCUGAGUGGAAAGGCCGUCACUCAACGGAUAAAAGUUACUCUAGGAUAACAGGCUGAUCUCCCCCAAGAGUUCACAUCGACGGGGAGGUUUGGCACCUCGAUGUCGGCUCAUCGCAUCCUGGGGCGGUAGUACGUCCCAAGGGUUGGGCUGUUCGCCCAUGAAAGCGGUACGCGAGCUGGGUUCAGAACGUCGUGAGACAGUUCGGUCCAUAUCCGGUGUAGGCGUUAGAAUAUUGAGAGGAGCCUUCUUUAGUACGAGAGGACCGAGAAGGACAUACCUCUGGUGUACCAGUUAUCGUGCCAACGGUAAACGCUGGGUAGCUAUGUAUGGAGUGGAUAACCGCUGAAAGCAUCUAAGUGGGAAGCCCACCUCAAGAUAAGUAUUCUCAC